UGUGCUGCACUGCUGCGCGAGACGCGGAGACGCGGAGACGCGGAGGGAGGGCAUCGGACCUCGACAAAGUCUCCCACCCUGAUAUUUUGUUUUAUUCAAUAAAUAUAUUUGUUUGACAGGGAAGCUGUGCGCAAAAGGAAUAAAUUCAUAUUUUGUUACAGAUUUGGCGGAAACAACUUCCAGAAGAAAAUGGGGGGAACAGAAAGUUCAAUUGAGACAGAGGGAGAAAUGGAUAGAAGAGCGGUGGAACUGGACAAAAGGGAGCUGGAACUGGACAAAAGGGAGCUGGAACUGGAAAAAAGGGCGAUGGAAGAGAAUAAGGCUGAAGCAAUGAAUCCUGUGCAACACAUCCAAGAAUCAGAGACGCCUAACAGUAAGAAUUAUGAUCGCGGUGGCUGCUUCAUUAAAAUGGACCAAGCUAACAUCAACUGUAACGACUGUCAGGGUUUGAUCUUCCUUCUGUUUUCCUCUUUCUUUGUUUGUGUUUCUGUCUUUUCCAUGUGUGUUCGCGCACAGCUGUUUGUGUUUCACAAUCAGCACUUCCGCUCUUUUGAGCUCACCUGUCUCCCCUUAUUGCUUGAUUUCUCUGCUGUAUCUGUGCUUCCUUUCUCUUUGUUCUCUGCCAGUGUGUUCUGUGUUUCUUGUUGUUCACCUGUAAGUUUUUCCUUGUCUAGUAUUGUUAUUUUUUGGUUUUGUUUUCUUUUUAUCUCACAUAUGUUUUCUCUGCCCAGUUUGCGGUCCAAUUGCCGUUUCCUCUCUAGAAUCCACUGAUCUUGGACAAUUCUGUUGCUGCUGACCAUUUGGACUGUUACUGGUGCUGGAGUUUGGAUGUGAACACCUGCCUGAUUCUGAUUAUUUGAUUGCCCAGGACUCUGACCCCUGCCUGCCUGCCCAUUCUCCUCUCUACUGUCCAGAGCUGAUUCUUCAUCAAUUCACAUCAAGUUACAGUACAAUGUGAAAUCGUAAUUGAAGAUAAGAGGGUGCUAAAAGGGUGGCACCACAACUUCAAAAGUGGUGGAGCAAAAUGUUGUGAUUUUGGGGUGUAGUGGGGAAUAUUAUUUUGUGAUUCUGAAUGCUUUACAACAAGGUUACCUCAAAUAACAAAAAACUCCUGUACACUUCUCAUCAGAGCUAAUUACAAAACACAGUGCCUCAGGGCUUUAAUCCAACUCUACCUCAAAUUUCUUUAUAGAGAACCCCUGCCCCAUUUUUACCCAAAACGGGGUGAUGUGAGCAUAAUGGGGCACUAAAAACACUCAUGUAAUAUGUGUUUCGUUCAUACUGGUAGCCGGAGGCGCCCUCAUGCCAAAAAGUCCAAGACUCAGAAAUAAUAAUACUUUGUGAGGUUACAAGAAAUCCUUUAUAUGGACAAAGGCAUCCAGCUUUCACAGCUCAAUAUAGCAGAUAGAAAUAUUUUGACUGAUAAAACAACAGGAAAUAAACACACGAUUGUGAGAGUGUAUGAUUUAUGUGCUUUUCAAGCCAUCUCGGGUAUUUUCAUAAGAAUCUUAAUUCUUAAUGUUAUAUUAUAAUGCAGUGCUAAUUGACAAUUUUUACUUAACCAUUCAUGGCUUAUUUUGAUUUAAUUCUGUCAGCUUCAGUCUAGCAAGAUGUUCCACUCAAUGUUAUGUGUAGCUAAACAUUAACUAUUGGCUGUAGCCUGCAUCCACCAGAUCAUGAAGGGAGCAUGCAUUACUUCAGGAACUACGGUGGACUUCAUAUAGCAUGAAUUGCUGCCAACGCUCAACUGGACAACAGCCAAAAAUCGAUGUCAUCGCAACACCUCAAUCAUAGCAAGUUAGACUGCAAACCUUUAUGACCGCUGCCUGCAUCGCCUCGUCAAUCAAUAUGGUAAUAUCCUUACAGAUACUUAAGGGGAUAGUUCACCCAAAAAUGUUAUUUCUAUCAUCAUUUACUCACCCUCAUGUCGUUCCAAACCUAUAUGAGUUUCUUCUGUUGAACACAAAAGAAGAUAUUUUUAAGAAUGUUGGUAACCAGACAGUUGAUGGUAGCCAUUGACUUCCAUGUUUUUCCUACUAUGGAAGUCAAUGGCUACCAUCAACAACUUGAGGGUUACUGUUUGAUCAAUAUCCUUUAGUUCAUAUGAGCUGAAUUUACCUAAUAUAUGACUUCAGGGCAGCCGUGACCUAAUGACUAGAGAAUCAGACUGGUAACCUGAAGGUCACCGGUUUGAAUCUCAGUACAGGCAUGAAAUAACUGAGACGCUCUCAAGCAACACACUGAACCCCCAAUCGCUCAAUGAGAGCCACAGGGUGUUUGUGUGUGUGUGUUCACUAUUCACUGAUCACUUCACAUGUCACUUUCACUUUUCUCUUGACUUGUACUAAACCUAGCUAACUAGCAUCAGCACUGUAUAGUUGAGAAAACUAUGUAAAGAUGCUUUGGAAAACUGCAUUGUGGAAAGAACUAUGUAAAUUAAAUUUGACAAUUUGUGAUUACAAAAUUAGUAAUCUACACUAAGAACAGUCUCUGCUUCCAAUAAACCAGACGACUACUACUA
This is a long non-coding RNA of Megalobrama amblycephala (Wuchang bream), 2521 nucleotides long. RefSeq lists it as uncharacterized. NCBI's taxonomy places the organism in Eukaryota, Metazoa, Chordata, Actinopteri, Cypriniformes, Xenocyprididae. The transcript has 4 exons. The record is from RefSeq and is a predicted model, not a curated record.